This 140-nucleotide ribosomal RNA is filed under the name uncultured bacterium. RNAcentral describes it as "partial 16S ribosomal RNA". It matches the Rfam family "Bacterial small subunit ribosomal RNA", at positions 354 to 509 of the family's 1533-position model. The record is from RNAcentral.
UGGGGGAGUAUUGCACAAUGGGGGAAACCCUGAUGCAGCGACGCCGCGUGGGCGAAGAAGUAUUUCGGUAUGUAAAGCCCUAUCAGCAGGGAAGAAGAAAUGACGGUACCUGAGUAAGAAGCACCGGCUAAAUACGUGCC